This 499-nucleotide ribosomal RNA is filed under the name uncultured bacterium. Its description in RNAcentral is "bacterial SSU rRNA". It matches the Rfam family "Bacterial small subunit ribosomal RNA", at positions 40 to 532 of the family's 1533-position model. The record is from RNAcentral.
CGGGUUGGGAGCUACCAUGCAAGUCGAACGGCAGCACGGACUUCGCGUCGCGGCUGGCGGUGGCGACGGGUGAGUAAUGGAUCGAAACGUGCCAAUCCACUUUUUCAUAGCUACACGAAAGCGUAACUUAUACCGCAAACCCCCUACGGAGGAAAGCAGGAGAUCGCGAGACCUUGCACUAUUGCAGCGGCCGAUAUCGGAUUAGCUAGUUGGUGGGGUAACGGCUCACCAAGGCGACGAUCCGUAGCUGGUUUGAUAGGACGACCAAGAUGACUGGGACUGAGACUGGCCCAGACUCCUACGGGAGGCAGCAGUGGGGAAUUUUGGACUUUGGGGGAAAGCCUGAUCCCCCCAUCCCGCGUGUGCGAUGAAGGCCUUCGGGUUGUAAAGCACUUUUGCCCUUAAAGAAACAAAUGGGUUAAUACCCCGUGACCCUGACGGUACCUGCAUAAUAAGCACCGGCUAACUACGUGCCUGCAGCCCCGGUAAUAAGGUAAUA